Long non-coding RNA from Athene cunicularia (burrowing owl), 203 nucleotides. RefSeq lists it as uncharacterized. The record is from RefSeq and is a predicted model, not a curated record. Lineage: Eukaryota; Metazoa; Chordata; Aves; Strigiformes; Strigidae. The transcript has 2 exons.
AAGAAAGAUAAGAGUAAAAUACAGCUGGGUUGACUCAUCACAGAAUAUGCUGAGAUAGUCUAUAUUCAACAUGUUAAAGUUAAUACCUGUUUAGUUUAGGCUUUGUUUAUCCUUAUCAAGGUGGGAAAACAAAACCAGAAAUCUAUGAUGGUGUGUUUAAGCUAUUUUCAAGUAAUUGCCGGCCCAAUACAUGCUGCUCUUAU